AGAGUUUGAUCCUGGCUCAGAACGAACGCUGGCGGCGCGCCUAAUACAUGCAAGUCGAGCGAGAAGGUGUAGCAAUACACUUGUAAAGCGGCGAACGGGUGAGGAAUGCAUGGGUAACCUACCCUCGAGUGGGGAAUAACUAGCCGAAAGGUUAGCUAAUACCGCAUAUGUUUCCGGAACUUCGGUUUCGGAAAGAAAGCAAUACCGUGGGUAUUGCGCUCCUGGAUGGGCUCAUGUCCUAUCAGCUUGUUGGUGAGGUAACGGCUCACCAAGGCUUCGACGGGUAGCUGGUCUGAGAGGACGAUCAGCCACACUGGCACUGCGACACGGGCCAGACUCCUACGGGAGGCAGCAGUAAGGAAUAUUGCGCAAUGGACGAAGGUCUGACGCAGCGACGCCGCGUGGGGGAUGAAGGUCUUCGGAUUGUAAACCCCUUUCGGGAGGGAAGAUGGAGUGGGUAACCACUUGGACGGUACCUCCAGAAGCAGCCACGGCUAACUUCGUG
RNAcentral lists this ribosomal RNA (505 nucleotides) under uncultured bacterium. RNAcentral's name for it is "bacterial SSU rRNA". It matches the Rfam family "Bacterial small subunit ribosomal RNA", at positions 8 to 507 of the family's 1533-position model. The record is from RNAcentral.